GGAUGAUCGGUGGCUGUGGCACGAGGUGGAGAGCCUGGACCCCACGGUUUUCAUGAACAACAACAUCCCCCCGCUGCUCCCGGAGAAGGAGACGGAUUACACGCAGUUCACGGGGCCCCCCCAGAAGCCUCCAAGACUCGGGGCACAG
Corapipo altera (White-ruffed manakin) is the source of this 148-nucleotide long non-coding RNA. RefSeq lists it as uncharacterized. Lineage: Eukaryota; Metazoa; Chordata; Aves; Passeriformes; Pipridae. The record is from RefSeq and is a predicted model, not a curated record. The transcript is spliced from 4 exons.